AAGAGAUUUUUCUCUUUUUUCUUCUGAGCCGCCUCUGAGAAGCCUCUGUAUGUGCACGAUGUGGCUGAUCUGGGAUAAUCGUGCUGUGCGCAGUGCUUAAGGAGAACAUUGCCCUAAAAUGGCGGGCUAAGGAAUAGCCUAAAAAACCUAAAAGGCUCGGGAAAAGCUCAAGAGAACACCGAUGGGCUCUGGGAAGCCCCAGUGAUGCUAGCGAAAACAGCGUGGCUUUUAGGCACCUCCUCAGAGCAGCAGCAAUGUCUCGCUCCAGCCUAUGGGACAAUGGGGACUCUUAAUUACCGCCUUGAAUUACCACAAGUGUUGCGAAAGCAGAAGGGACUAGGGAGCAUGCAGAGCAGGUUGUGGACUAUAUGUCAAGUUUAAACAAGCAACAAGCCCCUCUGCAAAUAGAAACAGGUUUAGCCCGAAGUAAUAGACGAAGGUAGCUGUGAGUAACGUGAAGCGAAGCGGUGACGUCGGUCACCCCGAAAGCCUCGGAGAAGCGGUCUGAAAAUCUGGUACCCUCGCGGCCUCGGCAGUCUUUUUGGUUUGUUUGGCAGGGCAGCCCACCGAAGGGGGACAUCUCGAAGAGAAGCAGCAAGACCUGGGGAUCCGGUGGUUCAUUUUGGUCAUCGCCUGUGAGGCCAGCGUCCGAGCGUAAGAGGAAGCUAGGAGCUGUGUCGAAAAGAGAUGGAACCAAGGACAGCAAAUGCUGACGAAGAGAAGAGACGGACAAGCGUUUUCUUGUGGUUAAUACCGAAGGGACGGGAUGAAACAAGGAAGCCAGAAUGCAGCGGCCCCUCGAUAUCACCAGGAACUGCUGCAGGAGGAGGCGUUCUGGCACGGGUAACUAAGGCAGCUACGGAAAGGAAUAGAUGUCAUCCUUACUUUUUUAGAUUAAUUGCCACGGCUGAAGUUGAAGAGACCAAGAAAGGUACGCACCGAAAGGGCACAUCUUGAAGAGAGGCGGCUAGACCUAGCGAUCCAGUUGUUCGUUUUGGUCGUCGCCUGUGAGGCCAGCGUCCGAGCGUAAGAGGAAGCUAGGAGCUGUCUCAAAAAGAGAUGGAACCAAGGACAGCAAAUGCUGACGAAGAGAAGAGACGGACAAG
This is a long non-coding RNA of Dromaius novaehollandiae (emu), 1106 nucleotides long. RefSeq lists it as uncharacterized. Lineage: Eukaryota; Metazoa; Chordata; Aves; Casuariiformes; Dromaiidae. The record is from RefSeq and is a predicted model, not a curated record. The transcript has 4 exons.